UAGCAGAAAUUAUCAGCCUCUCCAAUUCUGUCAGUUUUGGAAUGGAAAGGUGAUUCUGAUCUUAUUUAUGUGAAUCUUGAAGCAUCAAAAUAAUUCAUAUUCCUUUUUUUAGUUAGUUACUCCCAAUUUGAUAAAAUGAGUUCAUACCAUUUUGGGGAAUGAACUUACAGUCUUGCCAAUAGAGUGUCCAAGAAGAAUCGCCCCCUAGCGGACAUUUUAUACCCACUCGGAGGAUACUUGUGAGAUCUUGUCUGUCUCUCAUUUUUUUCUCUGACACACCUUACAAGUUAAAAAAAAUAAAAAGUAUUUUCAGAGCAGUCACUAAUACAUUGAUUUAAUUCUUGAAAUUUAAUUCUUGAAAUUUACUAUCUUCGGAUAGAUCAGAUAGUGUUUUGAUGAAGUUAUCUAAAACAAAUACUGGUGAAAUACAGACUAGACACCACAUACAUCUGGAUUUUACUCUGAUUUCUUUUUUUUUUUUCAGGGACAAGGGCCUGCUAUGUAUCUAUUUCCAUGUCAAGAAAGCCAUGACAGCUUUGGUGACCAAGAAUGUGGGAUCUUUUGAGGAACCUUAAUUUCAGCAGAGGGCUGGAAACAGGUUUAAAGAUGUUCAAUGACCAUAGGAAGAAGAUAGUGGAUUUUCAAAAUAACAUUUGGCAAAAGAGGUCGGCCUGCAGUGAUGUGCACAAGUUUGGGAGGCUCAAGACCUGGUGUCACAUCCUGACUCCAAUCUGUGUAAGCUGCAUUGCUCUGCGCAAGAGAUUCAAACACUAAGAACUGCAGUUGCACAUUUGUAAUACCUACUUCAUUGGUAUGUAAGAUUUGAAAACGUUAAUAAACCACCACACACUAUGUAAGCAUUAGUUAUUCUUGUUAUGACUUUUUUAUUCCUUCUAUAGGGAAAGAGUGCUAGAAGUUAUAGCUAAGAAUUCUACUUACUAUAGAAUUCCAUAAACAAUGUGGUGAAAAAGCUUAAAUACUAAGAUCAAAGAUAUUUGUUCAGUAGGGUUUAUGUGUAUGUUUGUAUAUACAUCUUAUUACUCAGAGCAAGUAAUAUGGUCAGUAAAAUGGGUUACAAUUGUAAACACAAUGACCAUUAGCAUUGUAAAGUACACGUCAGGCCAGCAUGUAAAAUGAUUUUAUUGAAUAAAACCUUUCUAGCUACUUAAUAUCUAAAAGUUACUGUCUUAAUAUACACACACACAAACACACACAUGGAAAUAGCACUGAAAAUAAAAUAAAUGAAGAUGCUAUUAAAUAUAAUGAUGAUGAAAUUGCCCCCAACACAUAGGAGUAGGUGAGCAGUAGGGAGUCAGUGGUCUUCUGAGGACUGGCCUGGGGCCUGGCCCAGUCUCAGGUAGUCCCUUCAAUUCAAGAGAAAUUAAUACACAAUGGACCAGAAUCCAGGUCUACAUAACUUCCUUCUCCUUGCCCAGAGCAGAUAACAAAGUUUGUUUCUGAAAUUUCCCCAACAGACUGCGUAGGCUGGCUUUGGGCCCCCACAUUGAUUGUGACACGAGCCAUACAGUAAGGGCUUUUACCCCAGGGAAGGUGAUGGUAAGCAUUUAGAAGAUGUGCUCCUGAGCUAGGACAAGAUAUUGCUUCAUAAAGUGUUCUAUGUAUUGCGAGUUGUUUCACUUCUCUUGCUUCCCACAUCAAAUUAUAGUAAGG
This is a long non-coding RNA of Callithrix jacchus (white-tufted-ear marmoset), 1671 nucleotides long. The record is from Ensembl. Lineage: Eukaryota; Metazoa; Chordata; Mammalia; Primates; Cebidae.